AAGAAAAAAUAACAAUAAAAAUAAAAAUAAGUGUUAAAUAUUAAGUAAUUAAUUAAAAUGGCAUUAAAUACAGAUGGUGGAAAGAAGAAGCCUUUGAAGCAAGCAAAAAGUGAGAAGUUUGUGACAGAGGAGGAUUUAGAAUUCAAAAAGAAGCAAGCAGAAGAAAAGAAGAAAUUACAACAGAUGAGUAAGGACCUUAAAAGUAAAAAGAAAUGAUGAAGUGAAUUUUAAGGAUAGAGAUUUUGAAUUAGAAGUUGAAAAAAGCGAGAAUUAUUGAAUUAAUAUAUAAUUAAGUUAAUAGGGAUUUCUAUAGAUUUCUUUGUGAAUGAUAGGAACUAUUACAUUGUAGAUUAGUAUAGGAAUUUAAUAUUAAGGUAUCAUUU
RNAcentral lists this long non-coding RNA (383 nucleotides) under Cryptosporidium parvum. Lineage: Eukaryota; Apicomplexa; Conoidasida; Eucoccidiorida; Cryptosporidiidae. The record is from RNAcentral.